UGUGAGACGCUGAGCCAGUAGGGUAC
Molecule: non-coding RNA, 26 nt
Filed under: Mus musculus (house mouse)
Lineage: Eukaryota; Metazoa; Chordata; Mammalia; Rodentia; Muridae
Source: RNAcentral